CCCGUUGUUACGUUACGUGCGUGGUACACUUUCGCGAACGUUCCGUGCCCUAGGAGACGACCUAGCUCGUAACGGCCGUGGAGGAGCCCCGCACCGUCAGAUCCUUUCUCCAUCGUUUUCACCGGUUUAGCUCCGACCAUUGUUUUUUAACCAAAAAAAAAAGGGAAAAAAAAAAGAUUUAAGCUUUGGAUCUUUGGUGUUUAGAAACUAAUCACCCGUCCUCAACGUGUUUCCGGUGGCUGUUUCUGCCGCCGACAGAUCGGUUAAACCGAUCACACAGCUUAGUCUUCACCGGCGAAUCUCCGACCAUCUCUCUGCAUUCCCUUCCAAGUUUUUUUUCUCCUUUUUUCUCAAAAUCAGUAUAGAGAGAGAAAAAUGAAAACAAGAUCUAAGUGAAACACGAAACUCGUUGUUAUGUUUUUUCUUUUCACCGGACAAAAGCAGAGAAAGAGUUGUCUUUAUAUAGAUCUUAACGAUUUUGUUAUUACGUAAGUGCCCUUAUUAGUAGUGAGUAAUUAACUUUAUAUAGAUCUUAACUUUACCGUUUACUCUUCCGUGAAUUGGCCCCCACAGGUGUGUGGAGACUUCCUUGUGGCGGCUUCGUGAUAAUCAAUUAUUUGAGAGGGACGACGACUCGUGUCCUUAUACUACCGGUUGAGAUAACAGUUU
This 669-nucleotide long non-coding RNA is filed under the name Brassica rapa (field mustard). RNAcentral's name for it is "long non-coding RNA (BRAP_LNC006014)". The record is from RNAcentral. Lineage: Eukaryota; Viridiplantae; Streptophyta; Magnoliopsida; Brassicales; Brassicaceae.